Molecule: ribosomal RNA, 514 nt
Filed under: uncultured bacterium
Lineage: Bacteria
Description: partial 16S ribosomal RNA
Rfam family: Bacterial small subunit ribosomal RNA
Source: RNAcentral
GACGAACGCUGGCGGCGUGCCUAACACAUGCAAGUCGAACGGGGAGUUAUUUAUAACUCCUAGUGGCGAACGGGUGAGUAACGCGUAGACAACCUGCCUCUAAAUUGGGGACAACACCGCGAAAGUGGUGCUAAUACCGAAUGUGGUAACUUGGUCGCAUGACUAGGUUAAGAAAGAUGGCCUCUAUAUAUAAGCUAUCGAUUAGAGAUGGGUCUGCGUCUGAUUAGCUAGUUGGUGAGGUAAUGGCUCACCAAGGCGACGAUCAGUAGCCGGUCUGAGAGGAUGAACAGCCACACUGGGACUGAGACACGGCCCAGGCUCCUACGGGAGGCAGCAGGGGGGAAUCUUCCGCAAUGGACGAAAGUCUGACGGAGCAACGCCGCGUGAGUGAAGAAGGUCUUCGGAUUGUAAAGCUCUGUCGUUUGGGACGAACGUGGAUUGUGUGAAUAAUGCAGUCUAAUGACGGUACCAAAGGAGGAAGCCACGGCUAACUACGUGCCAGCCGCCGCCGUAA